RNAcentral lists this long non-coding RNA (4759 nucleotides) under Marmota monax (woodchuck). The record is from RNAcentral. Lineage: Eukaryota; Metazoa; Chordata; Mammalia; Rodentia; Sciuridae.
CAGCUUCACCAGGGAGUCCUCCAGGUAAGGCGCCCUCCGGGCCUCCUGCUCCUCCUUAGCUGCCACGCCCCCUGCGCAGCCUUGGCUGGUUCUUGGACAGCAUCCCUUUGUCCAGCCCGACAGCCAGCCUCCUGAACUCGCUGUCCUCCAGAGACCGGUCUGAAACCAGUCAGGAAUGUAUGGAUCAGCACAAAGUGCUUCGCAAAUGGGUUUAUCUAGGCUGGCCUUGGCUUCUACGUUCCUGGCUCCAAAUGGUUCCUGGUGACAGCUCUUUCCUCCCAAUUCUCUAGGAAUGGGAGAGAUGGCCAAAGGGAGAGAGAGGAUGCUUCUUGUUUUCCUUAAGAAGCAUCAAGUGCUUCUUACAAAGUGGAAUUGGAACUGUUGUUUAAAAAAAAUGACCCCGGCUGCUCGAGUUCCGAGAAUCUGCGCUGAACAGCCUGUGCUUGGUGUCACUUUUCUUUCUGGUGGGCUAGGAGGGAUUUUUGCACGCCCAGAUUGAGGCUGAGGUAGGCCAGGUCAGCCUUAAUUUAAGGCAAGUGUUCCUAGCAGAUGAGGCAACAGUCCAUGAGACUGUAGAUUGCACCUCCAGCUCCAAGCUAAUGCUCAUCAAAUUACCUGUCUUGAAGUGACCACUGUGAGUCUCAAUGUGCGGGACUUAGAACCAGGAGGGAAGCCCAAACUCUGUGCUCAUUUUGAAAUGAGCCUCUCCCUGUGUGCCCUGUGCACUCUCUGGGAGAGACAUUAGUAGGUCCCAGAAUGCAGCCAGGUGUGGCAAUGUUCCUUGAGUAAUUUCAGCGUUAUUCACAGAUUGAUAGAUUUGCCCUAGGGUGUUUUUUCUUUUCAAGAAAAUAGAAAACAACAACAAAAAAAAGUUUAUAACUGAAUUUUUGAGUUCUUGAGGUCAAAGAGAAGGGUUAAUAAUCUUUGUUUAACCCACAUUUAGUGGUCACAAACUUUAUUUUUACACUAAAACUAUUGUACUUUCUUUUUUAUCUGUCAUCCCAUUAAAAUUGUAAAGGAAAUAAUGUCAAUGGAUUGUGGAAUUGGAGCCAGAAAAUUGUCCAUUGUGGUAAUAUUGAAGUCUAUGGGAGCCCGAUAAUGUCUGGUUGGAUAAACCAAAGGAUGUGUAAAGCACUAUAUUGAUUCUCAAAAUUAAUAAAUAGUCCACUGAGGAUAAUUUUAAAAAUUAAAUUUUGGUAACAAAUCUGAGGAUAUUCAGCUAAUUAAUUAUAGUACAUAAUUUUUAGCACACCUGUAAAAGAAUACUGAAAUACUAUAAUAUUUCAAAUAAUAUGUGUGUGUGUGUGUGUGUGUGUGUGUGUAAUACCAGCUCCCAAGGUAGGGAAAAGCCUAUAUCAAUUCCGAAUGUACUGUAUGUGAAAGUGACAGUCUUGUUUUGCUGCUAGGUUCUACCCCCUGCCUGGAGCAGUUAGGUGAAUACUCCUGGCCCAAUGGUGACACCUGGUGGUCAGGACACUUGUUGGCUACCUUCUUAAGUCAGUUAUUUAGUCAUUGCAGGCAAACAUGUCCACUAGGCUUUUUGAAUAUUAUUAUUAUUAUUAUUAUUAUUAUUAUUAUUUUGGUACCGGAGCUUGAACUCAGGAGUACUGGACCACUGAGCCACAUCCCCAGCCCUAUUUUGUAUUUUAUAUUUAUAGACAGGGUCUGGCUGAAUUGCUUAGCGCCUCACCAUUGCUGAGGCUGGCUUUGAACUCACAAUCCUCCUGAAAUAUACUAUCCUAUUUAAUUCUCACAGCAAGCCUAGGGAUCCACAUUUUGUGAAUAAAUGAUUCAAAGUCUCCACAGAUGUUAUGUGUAAUGCCGAGAUUCUGAUACAGGUGUAAUGUCAAACAGGGUGAUGCCAGAUAAAGGGGGAAAGUGUGUUCUGUGCUGAAGUGUUUCUAAAUAGGCAACUUCCUAAUGGUUUUAAGGUGCAGUAGGUAUCAUUUGAUUUGUCCUCUGCAAGACUUGGAAAUGAAAAACUAUCCUGUGAUAAGCUUCACCCUUUCUCUUCCAACUAAAAUCUGGCUUUAAUCAAGGUAAACACAGGUAAAGUAAGCAUAUUGCUUGAUUUUUUGUUCAUUUUUUUACCUUUUAGGCUGAGCAGAGAAUGAGAAAAGUCUGAUUCUUGAUUUAUUUCCCCCUUGUUCCUCAAUUCUUUUAAAAAUUUAAUUUUUUUUUUCAGAAUAUUAUGUAGUUGGAAUCGAACAGUUUGGAGCCCUUUCAGACUGGUGUCUUUUGCUUAGUAAUGUGCAUCUAAGCUUCCUCCAUGUCUUUUCAUGGCUUCCUAACUUUUUUUAGUGCUUAAUAAUAUUCUGUUAUCUAGAAUUCAAUUCAUUUGUUUUCAUCAGAACAUCUUUAUUGCUUUCAAGUUUGGGCAGUUAUGAGUAAAGAAGCUAUAAACAUGCAUAGUUAGGGUUUUAUAUGGAUAUGUUUUCAAUUCACUGGAUUAAAUACCAGAGAACAUGACUGCUGGACCACAUGGUGAAAAUGUAGUCCAUGCUUUAUAAAGGUGAAUGGUUCACUGGAGGCCAAUAAUUAAUAUUCUGCUUUGUAAACAUGUAACUUAAGGUCAAAAAAGUUAAAUGACUUACUCAAGUAUUAUACUAGUAAUAAGUGAUAGAGCAGGUCUAAACUUUGGGUUUUCUCCCUACUGGUCCAAGACUUUUUACUGUCUUAUGUGGCUUCCUCAUUACAUGACAGAGAAAAAGUUUAGAUUUCUUACCCAGAGGUCUAAGUCUAAAAUUAUCACACAGCUCAAAAAAGACUGCAGUAAUGUCAUACCUAGAACUGGGUGGGGAAAAAGGUACAAGCUAGAAAAGUAUAAUAUUUUAAGACCUUCAAGAGUGAUGAGGAUAUUAAAGUUUCAAAUAAACCCAAGUGUUUUAUUUAUGUUUAAAACUUGUUAAGUCGAUAGUGAAAUAGCAACUUACAGGAGGAAUGAAAAUACUUACAAAUCCCAUAUCCCAUAGGGUUUAAUAUCCGGAGUUGGGCUGGGUUUGUGGAUCAGUGGGAGGGCACUUGCCUAGCAUGUGUGAGGCACUGGGUUCAAUUUUAAGCACCACGUAGAAAAAUAAAUAAAAUAAAGUUAUUAUGUCCAAUUAUAACUAAAAAUGUUUUUUUAAAAAAUACCCAAAGUAAUGGGCUGGGGUUGUAGCUCAGCGGUAGAGUGCUUGCCUAUCAUGUGUGAGGCCCUGCAUCACAUAAAAAUAAAUAAGUAAAAUUAAGGUAUGUGUCGAACUACAACUAAAAAAUAAUUUUUUUAAAAAUCCAAAGUAAAUAAAGAACUCCUUCAACUCAACAACAAUAAAUUUUGAUUAACAAAUGGGCAAAGGAUUUCUCCAAAGAAGUUGCACAAAUGACCAAUAAGCACAAGAUGUACAGCAUCACUUAUCAUUAGGGAAAUGAAAAUCAAAACUACAAUUAGGUUACCAACAAUAAAAAUUAAAAAAAAAAAAAACAACUACAAUUAGGAACCACCUCACACCCAUUAGGAUUGGCUACUAUUCAAAAAUAAUAAUAAUAAUAACAAAUGUUGACAAGGGAAUGGAAAAAUAGGAACCUUCUUGUGUUGUUGGUCGGGUAAUAUAAAAUAGUGCAGCCACUAUGGAAAACAGUAUGGCAGUUGAUGAAGAAACUUAAUAAGCAAUUCCACUUUGGGGUAUAAGUACCCAAAAGAAUUGAUAACAAAAACCAAACAGGUAUUUGGACACCCAUGCUCCUAGCAUUAUUUGCAGUAGCCAAAGGUGUAAGUAUUUUAAGUGUCCAUCAAAGGUUGAAUGGAUAAACAAAAUUUGGCAUACACACAUAGAGUAGAAUAGUAUUCAUCCUUAAAAAGGAAGGGAAUUCUGAUACAUCAUUAAUGACAUUUAAGGAUAUGUUGCUAUGUGAACUAAGGACAAAUACUGUGUAAUUCUACUUAACAUUAGUUAAUCUGACCCAGAGUAGUAAGAUUCAUAGAGAAAGAAAGUUAGAUUGGUGAUUGCCAGGGAAUGAAUAGUGGAAUAGGGAGUUGCUUAAUGGAAAUGGAGUUUUGGUUUUGUAAGAUAAAGAGUUCUGAAGAUUGGGCACACAACUGCGUGACUGUAAUUAAGCCACUGAUCUGAACUGUACACUUAAAAAUGGUUGUGAUGGAGAGUGUUAUGUGUAUUCUACCAUUAAUUUAAAAAAUGAGUAAAUAUUUUGACCAAGCUCCAUAUUUUUAUAAGGCUAACUUAUGUGUUAUUAUAUUCAAGUAAACUACAUGAGUGUUAAAAAGAAUUUUCUUUUGAUGAGUCCAGUCAGUCACUCUAAUAACUAAUAUGAUUUAGUAGACAUAUAGCUUAGGAUUAUACAGUGAUUAAUUUUUAUUUGACAUUUUUGGAAAGUUCCUCCAUCAUAGUAUAACUGUUUAACUCUGAGGCAUUGCCAAGUUGUUUUUCAAGAGGCUGCACUAGGAAAAGGUUUCUUGACAGAAACAUGAGUGCAAGCAAAUGUCUUCAGAUUGGCUGGGUUUUGGGGGCUCAGGGUUCUACAAAAUUUAGAUUUCAAUACAAGGUCAUGGUAAAACAUGUGAAUUUCAAUGCCAGGACUCUGAUGAUACAAGAGGGGAACAUGGAAGGUGCCUACAGGACCCUCAGCAGAAUCCUCACCAUGGAUGGGCACUGAGGACAUGAAGCUAUAGUGGUGCUGUGAUGUGCCUGGCCUUCUGUGAAGACAGGGAAACUAUGAAACUGCUGGUGGAUCUGCAAAGUGAAAAUGGCUCCAAAAAUCAAUUUCU